Long non-coding RNA from Ictalurus punctatus (channel catfish), 1285 nucleotides. NCBI's taxonomy places the organism in Eukaryota, Metazoa, Chordata, Actinopteri, Siluriformes, Ictaluridae. The record is from Ensembl.
UUUAGAAAUGGAGAAAUAAGUCAGAUGUUCUGCAGCAGAAAUACUAAGACUAGGUUUAAAAACUUGAUCUAAUAACGAGGAAUAUGUCAAAAUGAUCAAAUAUAAUAAGAUGAAUAAAUACGCCCAAACUCGUAGGAACAUCAAGAUGAAAAAGAGUUUAUCUAAUGACGUUUCUGGUUUUUGUAGGAGGUCUUGGUGAAGUUUCCUUUACAGCUGCUUCAGUCUGCAGACACAGCGGCCCAGCGCAGGAGAGGUUCUCUUAUGUGGACAUCUUACUGUGGGACAUGAACAACCACACAUCUACACACUUACAGCUGGAACAAGUAACACACACACACACAGAGACACACAUCUACACACUUACAGCUCUAACAAGUAACACACACACACACAGAGACACACAUCUACACACUUACUGCUGGAACAAGUAACACACACAUACACAGAGACACACAUCUACACACUUACAGCUGGAACAAGUAACACACACAUACACAGAGACACACAUCUACACACUUACAGCUGGAACAAGUAACACACACAUACACAGAGACACACAUCUACACACUUACAGCUCUAACAAGUAACACACACAUACACAGAGACACACAUCUACACACUUACAACUGGAACAAGUAACACACACAUACACAGAGACACAUCUACACACUUACAGCUGGAACAAGUAACACACACAUACACAGAGACACACAUCUACACACUUACAACUGGAACAAGUAACACACACAUACACAGAGACAUCUACACACUUACAGCUCUAACAAGUAACACACAUACACAGAGACACACAUCUACACACUUACAACUGGAACAAGUAACACACACAUACACAGAGACAUCUACACACUUACAGCUCUAACAAGUAACACACAUACACAGAGACACACAUCUACACACUUACAACUGGAACAAGUAACACACACAGAGACACACAUCUACACACAACUGGAACAAGUAACACACACAUACACCCUCUCCUUGUCUGUCUCCUUGUCUCUCCCUCUCCUUGUCCCUCUCCUUGUUCCUCUCCCUCUCCUUGUCUAACCAUGGCAGUUUUACCUGCCUUUGGAGCUAAUUAAACCACUUAAUGUUACACGGGCUGAAACUAUAUAACGAGAGUCCCUGUUGAAGGGAAGAGCCUUUUGCCUUUUUCUCGUGAAAAGCUAGAGCGUUUUAUCUUAUCCGCGCUGCCGCCGGUUCUAUGUUUUCCUCCAUAGUCACACCAGGGGCUAAUGGUUCACAUAGACAGGGCGUAGGAUCUGCA